AGGAGCUAUAACGGUCGCUGUGUGGAAUCUUCCGAGUCUCGGUUUAUUUUUAUGAGGUUUUAAAGCUUUUAUUUUUAAUUUUUCUCUAUGUUAUCCACUGUUAGGAUCAAAAUGAGCAGUUUGAAGGCGCUGGACGAUUCGCUCGGAGGAAGUAUCGCGUCUGAGCCGGUGGAGGACAUCGAUCCCAGCACCUUCUCUUCGGAUAUGUCUCGCUCUCUGAAGUCCAACUACCCGGUUCAAGUCACUGAUCCACACGAAAACGUAACCCUGCAGCUCAGCUCAGUGCCUCCCGGAUACCUCACACCGUCCACGGACCGAAUACAGCAGCCCGUGGAGAACGAUGCCAGCGAGUUCAUCUGCCCGAGAUCCAUCACCUCAGACUUCACCAAAGACCUCCAGUGCCUGUCGUGCCCCUGCGAGAAGUGCCUGUGCUCCGCCCCGCCGCCCAAAAUCAGCGACCUGCUGGACGACGAGGACCUCCUCUACACCCUGCGCCUGAAGCUGGACCCCGCCCACUACACCGUGAAGAACUGGAAGAACUUCGCCAGCCGCUGGGGGAUGAGCUACGACGAGCUGAUCAUGCUGGAGCAGCGGACGCACGGCUCCACGUCGCACAGCCCCACCCAGGAGUUCCUGUUCCGCUACGGCCAGAAACCGGUGACGGAGCUGGCCAAACUCUGCCAGUUCUACCAGCGCAUCGACGUCCUGCGGCUCCUCCAGAACUGGGUGGAGAACGACUGGCCCUCGCGCUGGAGGAAGCUGCAUUAGCGAAGGCUCAGACACACGGACGGCUACCGCCAGGUGGUAGGAAUUCGGUACCAAACAAGCUAGCAGUCGUUGGCAAAUUGGUGCCAAUUAGGGCCUCGCAGUUCAAAAUGAUGACGUGACCGCGUGAGUUUUGCUGUCAAUUUUGCCAGCAGAGGUCACUCUCUCCCACGUUCCGUCAGGCCCGGGAUUCGAGAGCUUGAACUGUCAGCGGAUCGCUCUCCGGACUCCUCCAGCAUGGCAGUAGGAGGCGCUGUUGCGGUGGCUUUCUGUCAGGCCUGUGGCAGCACCGAGGCUCGACAAGCGGCGGAACCGUUUUUGUGCUUUUGGGCUUCAUCUGAUUGAAUUUUGACCUUUUCAAAGCUCCUCCGAUGAGACGGACUGUUUGAUACGACGCAGUAAGCGCCCCAACACCGUGGUUUCUCUGGUGGUGGGUGGAUGGACGAGUUCCUCCACACUGUGGAACCCUCAGGAACAAACCAACGUUGUGGUGUAUGCUUUCUUACAUCACUGAUUUAAUACCUGCUAUUAACGGGCGUGGCCGGAACACCUGAACUUCGUUCAUUAGGAACGAUCCCGAGGGCAGCAAAUAUUGUGGGGUGAUGCAGUGACCCAAAUAAAGUGAACCAAUCAAAA
RNA transcript from Trichomycterus rosablanca, 1401 nucleotides. It is a transcript of the gene named EDAR-associated death domain, with no coding region annotated. NCBI's taxonomy places the organism in Eukaryota, Metazoa, Chordata, Actinopteri, Siluriformes, Trichomycteridae. The transcript is spliced from 8 exons. The record is from RefSeq and is a predicted model, not a curated record.